UAAGGAAUAUUGCUCAAUGGGAGAAAUCCUGAAGCAGCAACGCCGCGUGGAGGAUGAAGGGUCUAUGACUUGUAAACUCCUGUAAAGAAGGAAAAAAUUCCCAUUAGAUGGGAGAUGAUGGUACUUCUGGAGUAAGCCCCGGCUAACUACGUGCCAGCAGCCGCGGUAAUACGUAGGGGGCAAGCGUUGUCCGGAUUUACUGGGUGUAAAGGGUGCUCAGGCGGAUUUGUAAGUCAGAGGUGAAAUCUUACAGCUUAACUGUGAAACUGCCUUUGAUACUGCAAGCCUAGAGUAUGGAAGAGAGUGAUGGAAUAUCAGGUGUAGCAGUGAAAUGCGUAGAUAUCAGAUAGAACACCAAUGGCGAAGGCAGUCACUUGGUCCAUUACUGACGCUAAAGCACGAAAGCGUGGGUAGCAAACA
Molecule: ribosomal RNA, 420 nt
Filed under: uncultured bacterium
Lineage: Bacteria
Description: bacterial SSU rRNA
Rfam family: Bacterial small subunit ribosomal RNA
Source: RNAcentral